This 208-nucleotide ribosomal RNA is filed under the name uncultured bacterium. RNAcentral's name for it is "partial 16S ribosomal RNA". It matches the Rfam family "Bacterial small subunit ribosomal RNA", at positions 568 to 774 of the family's 1533-position model. The record is from RNAcentral.
UGCGUAGGUGGCGUAUUAAGUCAGUGGUGAAAAGCUGCAGCUCAACUGUAGUCUUGCCGUUGAAACUGAUAUGCUAGAGAGAGACGAGGUAUGCGGAAUGUGUGGUGUAACGGUGAAAUGCAUAGAUAUCGACACAGAACGCCGAUUGCGAAGGCAGCGUACCAGGCUCCGUACCGACACUGAAGCACGAAAGCGUAGGGAUCAAACA